GUCCACGCCUAACGAUGUUACUUGCUGUGCGGUCUUCGGAUUGCGUGGCGAAGCGAAAGCGAUAAGUAACCACCUGGGAGUACGCCGGCAACGGUGAAACUCAAAGGAAUUGACGGGUCCGCACAAGCGGUGGAGCAUGUGGUUUAAUUCGAUGAUACGCGAGGAACCUUACCUGGGCUAGAAUGUGAGAGGAAGUGAUAUGAAAAGUUGAUCGCCCGCAAGGGCUUCUUACAAGGUGCUGCAUGGCUGUCGU
RNAcentral lists this ribosomal RNA (253 nucleotides) under uncultured bacterium. RNAcentral describes it as "partial 16S ribosomal RNA". It matches the Rfam family "Bacterial small subunit ribosomal RNA", at positions 793 to 1055 of the family's 1533-position model. The record is from RNAcentral.